CCAAGCUGCUCACCAGGAUCCCCA
This 24-nucleotide non-coding RNA is filed under the name Arabidopsis thaliana (thale cress). Lineage: Eukaryota; Viridiplantae; Streptophyta; Magnoliopsida; Brassicales; Brassicaceae. The record is from RNAcentral.